GUGAUUGCAGCUCAGUGGUUGAGCACUUGCCUAGCAGGUAUGAGGUACUGGGUUCAAUCCUCAGCACCACA
Molecule: transfer RNA, 71 nt
Filed under: Marmota monax (woodchuck)
Lineage: Eukaryota; Metazoa; Chordata; Mammalia; Rodentia; Sciuridae
Description: tRNA.Ala
Source: RNAcentral